GAAAUACUCUGUAGGUAAAGGUCCGCUAAACAUGUUAUUGGAAAGAUCGAACAUUCGUAGCUUUGAGAACGAAAAAUUGGCAAAGGACUCUUUCACCAAACCAUGGAGUUUGUUGGACUGUAGCACUAGAACUUGCAACUCCGGAAGAGUUUCCAAAAAAUGAGGGAACGUGUCAUCUAUAUUAUUGUUUCCAAGAUCUAAAAUUUGCAAACGUUGACAGUUGGAGAUGGACAGCGGAAUUCUCCUUUCCAAUUGAUUGCCAUUGAAGUUCAA
This 273-nucleotide unclassified non-coding RNA is filed under the name Hevea brasiliensis (rubber tree). The record is from RNAcentral. Lineage: Eukaryota; Viridiplantae; Streptophyta; Magnoliopsida; Malpighiales; Euphorbiaceae.